CCCUUAGAUGUCCUGGGCUGCACGCGCGCUACACUGAUGUGUCCAGUAAGCACCUAACCUCUUCCGAAAGGAACGGGUAACCUUUGCAAAGCACAUCGUGAUGGGGAUAGAUUAUUGCAAUUAUUAGUCUUGAACGAGGAAUUCCUGGUAAGCACAAGUCAUCAGCUUGUGUUGAUUACGUCCCUGCCCUUUGUACACACCGCCCGUCGCUCCUACCGAUUGAAUGUUCCGGUGAGCUCUUCGGACUGCGCGGUCUGCAGUUUCUGCGUUCCGUGCGGAAAGUUGCGCAAACCUUAACAUUUAGAGGAAGGAGAAGUCGUAACA
This 324-nucleotide ribosomal RNA is filed under the name uncultured eukaryote. RNAcentral's name for it is "partial 18S ribosomal RNA". It matches the Rfam family "Eukaryotic small subunit ribosomal RNA", at positions 1470 to 1796 of the family's 1831-position model. The record is from RNAcentral.